This is a long non-coding RNA of Mus musculus (house mouse), 1881 nucleotides long. RefSeq annotates it as predicted gene, 32575. Lineage: Eukaryota; Metazoa; Chordata; Mammalia; Rodentia; Muridae. The transcript is spliced from 2 exons. The record is from RefSeq and is a predicted model, not a curated record.
CUGUAGGAGAACCGCAUUUCUCUUGUUCACGCCUGCACGUUACAUGGGGCAUCAUGCUACUGUUUGCUCCUGUGCUCAGGACAACUGUGGCUUCCAGGAGGGAGUGGAAUGAAGACUCCCAAGGUCAGACGUGUAGAUUUUUUUUCCCACUUCGAUACAAUGUGACCUCAAAAGGAAAAAAAAAUAAAAGAAAAAAAGAAAAAGAGCCUGGAUCUUGGAGUACUAAUUAGCACAAUAUGCAAAUUCACACACUGCGGACUGGUUGAGAAGCUGCUGAUUACUUCCAAAGCAAUAAGGAUCACCCUGAAUUAUGACGAAGCCUCAGACCUACUGUACAACGCUGGAAGGACACGGCAUGCCACUGUGCCUUGUUCUUCUUUGGGGUUGCCACUGUUUGAUGACAGGGUGUGAGGCACAUCCACAGAACUUCCUUUGGACCUUAUGAGUUUUGUUGUUGUUUUAACACAGUGGGAAGAAGGAGGAAGGCCACCCCCUGGCCACACCUACAGUGAAACUGCCUUUGUCUGACCAGAGCUGUCCCUCUCCCUUCUUUUUCAAACCACAGCCACCACCCUGCAAAGAACAUGUCUGUUCUUGCCACCCGCCACCUUUGCCACCCGCCACGCCCCCUCCGGGUGUUGCCUCCUGCCAAGGAACUCAUCUGGCUUCUGAGCUCCAUCUAACAUCAACUUGUGUGGUGUUUCGCCUCCUGGCCCAGGGAGCUUGGCACUUGUGGUUCCCACUCUGUCUUUGUGAAGACUUAAGGCUGCUGCAGGCUGCCCAAGGCAGCACAAAAGAACUCCCCGUCGCCCAGCAGUGCUGGCCUCCACCCGGGACAGCCACCUCCAGCACAGGUCACUCCUGGGCCUCCAGGCUCACCUAUCUCCUCACAAACUCUUCAGUCAGAAAUCAGAGUCCUAAUGUAAAGCCCAGCCAGGGACGUCUUCCUCCAGGAAUCACUCUCUCUCCACUCCACAACCUGGUCAUGAGGGGGAGAAGAUCUUUCCAAAGUAUCCCACCUGAAUUCUCAAUGACAGGCCCCAUACAAAGCAUCAGGUGGCGUCUCUGAUAACAGGGAUCUGUCGGUGACAUUGGGUACACACCAGGCUUUGUAAGUGACAGUGGUGACUUUCCUGUGUUCUCUUCUGGUGGGGAACUGCAGGGUGUUUCUUCUUGACCCCUUGCCUCAUCGACACACAUUCACCCCCAUUUUCUUUUUAAUCUGUUACAAAAGAACAGAAACAAGACCAAGAAGACAUUAAAACUCUAAAGUUAAAUUAAUAGAGAAGAUUCUCCGAGAUGCUAAACCACGUGGACCUGGAAAGUCUUCCCUCCUUGUUGGCAACCGGGUGCUUGCCUCCUGCCGUCCUGGCUGAGGACCGUGCCUUAGCUCCUGCUCUACAAAAUACAAUGUUGCCAUGACAUAACGCUGGUCUCCAGGGAGCCUCUCAGCCUCGGUGGGAUCUUAUGAAUUUGGAUAUUCAAGAGAGCAGCUUGGACCCACUGUGGCUGGGAGAAUAAACUGCCCACUAAGAUCUGUGGGAGAGUGAAUUAUCCACUAAGGGCUGAGUGGGCUGUGCUUCGCCAACUUUGUUUUCUGUUUAUUUGGAACCGUUACACCGCAGCAGGGGCCUCUCUGGAGUGACCUUUUCAUGAUGCAAAAAUUAGUUUGGGGAAGUUCAAAUUCCCCAAAUGGAACAAUAAUCAGAUGAAAUGACCACAAAGGAAUAAAUUUGCUUCCGAAAUAAAAAGGUACUUAACAAAUGAUUCAUCAUUCCACGCUCUGACCUUAAAUAGAUCUCUCUUUGGCUUCACUGACUAGAAGUCAGUUCUUUUGCUGCCUUUGUUUUUUGUAUAUAACAAGGUUUGUGUGUUUCAUGA